This 12403-nucleotide long non-coding RNA is filed under the name Daucus carota (carrot). RNAcentral describes it as "long non-coding RNA (DCAR_LNC002830)". Lineage: Eukaryota; Viridiplantae; Streptophyta; Magnoliopsida; Apiales; Apiaceae. The record is from RNAcentral.
CUUCGGGUUAAAACAGCUAGAGUCGACCACUCUUAGUUUUAAUACCACCGACGCUAAACACAGUAUUCGGAUGGCUAAAAACAUUACAAUUGAGCCAAAAUGUCAGAGUAAAUGCGGAGACCUGACGGUACCAUAUCCGUUUGGAAUCGUAUCAAAGGGUCUCAAGUGUUCCAUAGACCCCUCUUUUGAUAUUACGUGCAACAAUUCUUUCAAUCCUCCCAAGGCCUUUAUACAAACUGGUAACAUUCAGGUGUAUGAUAUAUCGGACACUGAGUUAAGAGUAUCAACUUUCAUGUCUUCCAGAUGCUAUAAUCAGCCCGGCUUUUUAAAUUACACCGAAGCUCGGGUUAAUGUUGAACCUCCGUAUAUAUAUUCUGACGCAAAUGUGUUCACAGUUGUUGGUUGUGAUGACUUUGGCAGCCUUUUCAGAGAUGUAAAUUCCGUUUCCCGUAAAGGAUGCAUGACAACAUGCGACGACGCUGAGGAUGUCGAUAAAGAUGAGUGCUCCGGCAAUGGUUGUUGUCAAACAUCCGUCAAUCUUGACAAGUAUUUCCGAAUCGGUCUUUCAAGCGAUUUUAAUCAUACAUAUAACGUCUCAUCAUUUAACCCGUGCGGUUAUGCAUUUUUGGGUGAGAAAGAUAAAUUCAAGUUUCAAGGCACAUCAGAUCUUAAUGAUCCAGAUUUCCGGAACAGGACUAAGGCUAAUGUUCCUAUAGUACUAGACUGGGGUAUAGGGAAGAACAAUUGCAUUGAAGCACAGAAAGACCAAGCUUCUUAUGCUUGCAAACAUGAAAAUAGUGACUGCAUAAAUGGAAGUAGGUCUGGUGGAUAUCGUUGCAUUUGCAGAGAUGGUUAUGAGGGUAAUCCAUAUCUCAGUCCAGGAUGCCAAGGUAAUUAAUCUAACUCUUCAUUCUAAUUUUGAAUAUUUGGAGUAUCUAAUGAGCUGAUUUAAUCUAAUUUAAUUGUUUGAUUGUAAGAUAUAAAUGAAUGUGAACAACAUACACAUGGUUGUGAACAACACUGCAAUAAUACUCAGGGGGGUUUUAAUUGCUAUUGCGGAUCCGGCUACUCUAUUGAUGUUCGUGAUGGCAAAAAAUGCACUGCUAAAAGUGUUUUAAUUGCUAACGGCAACAGGAUCAAGUUGGUAUUAGGUAAAUUAGUUCUCAGCAAUGAUCCAUACAUAUGCAUAAUGUACUGGAAUAAAUAAUCAUGUGAUAUACGGGUGUAUCAUGCAGGUUUGGUAAUUUGUUGCCUUUUAGUAAUCAUCGGAAUGAACUGGCUGUACUGCAUCAUGAAGCAGAGAAAGCAUUCUCAAUUACGAGAAAAAUUCUUUGAGCAGAACGGGGGUUUUCUCUUAAGACAACAAAGUAUUUCUGAGGGAGGUAGUAUCGAGUCUACAAAACAUUUCACUUACGAAGAAUUGAAGAAAGCGACCAACAACUAUGCUGCUGAUAGAAUAGUUGGACAAGGUGGUUAUGGUAUAGUUUACGAAGGAAUUUUACCUGAUCAACGUGUCGUUGCAGUCAAAAGGUCUAAAGUAUUGGAUACGAGUCAAAUAGAUCAAUUUAUCAACGAGGUGGUCGUUCUUGCACAAGUUAACCACAGAAAUGUGGUCAAACUUCUAGGAUGUUGUUUAGAAUGUGAGGUGCCAUUGUUGGUAUAUGAGUUUAUAUCUAAUGGCACUUUGUUCCAUCAUGUCCACAGUACUGACGGAGGCUUGUCAUGGUUAUCUUUAGACAAUCGGUUGAGAGUUGCUGCUGAAUCUGCUGGUGCCCUUGCGUAUCUUCAUUCAGAAGCUUCUAUGCCCAUUAUGCAUAGAGAUGUCAAAUUAGCCAACAUAUUACUUGAUGACAAUUAUGUUGCUAAAAUAUCUGAUUUCGGAGCCUCCAGGCUGGUACCCAUGGAUCAAACUAAAGUGAUCACAUUAGUCCAAGGAACUUUAGGCUACUUGGACCCUGAAUACUUCCAUACAGGUGAACUAACCGACAAAAGUGACGUUUAUAGUUUUGGAGUGGUCCUUGCAGAGCUCUUAACUGGAAGAAAACCAAUUUCCAUGGAAAAUUCUGGGGAAGAAAAAAAUUUAGCCACGUAUUUCAUUACUUCCCUCAAGGAGAACAGAUUAUUUCAAGUUCUAGAUCGUCGAGUAGUGAGGGAAGGGUCGAUGGAUCAACUUCAAAACGCUGCUCAACUUGUGAAGAGGUGCCUUAGCCUUAAUGGCGAGGAAAGACCACCAAUGAAGGAUGUGGCGACGGAAAUGGAGAGUCUAAGGAAAUUAACCAAACAUCCUUGGGCUAAUCAACAUGGCACUGAAGAAACCACAAGCUUGAUCGUUGAUAGAGAGAUUCAGCAUUCAGACCUCUAUGAAAUUCAGCUAACUACUCAUGGUGANUUUUGGAGUGGUCCUUGCAGAGCUCUUAACUGGAAGAAAACCAAUUUCCAUGGAAAAUUCUGGGGAAGAAAAAAAUUUAGCCACGUAUUUCAUUACUUCCCUCAAGGAGAACAGAUUAUUUCAAGUUCUAGAUCGUCGAGUAGUGAGGGAAGGGUCGAUGGAUCAACUUCAAAACGCUGCUCAACUUGUGAAGAGGUGCCUUAGCCUUAAUGGCGAGGAAAGACCACCAAUGAAGGAUGUGGCGACGGAAAUGGAGAGUCUAAGGAAAUUAACCAAACAUCCUUGGGCUAAUCAACAUGGCACUGAAGAAACCACAAGCUUGAUCGUUGAUAGAGAGAUUCAGCAUUCAGACCUCUAUGAAAUUCAGCUAACUACUCAUGGUGAGAAUAACUCUGAACAGUAUAGCUCAAGUACUACUGUUAGUUUGUUGCACCAGCCAACCACCCCUCGUUGAGAUAUAUCUUGAACUCCAUGAUUUGUUUAUAAAUCAGGCAUGUGUAUCCUAUAGUUUCAUUUCUAUGUUUAGUUACCAGUUUGUUGCACGGUUAAUUUCUAUCUAGUUAUGCAUACGUAUUCGAUAAGGAGGUUUCUAUACAAGUAGCACACUUUAUAUGCAAAUAGUUGUAUAUUUUAGUAGCAAAGUUUUACAUAGUUCAUUAAUUGUAUAUUUUAUAGGAUUUCUUCCUGGCUGAUAAGAUCUAUCUUGUAAGUUUCGCAUAAAAAAUUCUCGCUAUAAAAUGUCUGAGUUGAGCGAGAACUGAACUCCUUGUCUGAAACAUGAUAUAGGGAUAAAUUCUUACUCCGAGACUAUCUCAUUUUGUUUUUCGUUUCAAUUAAUUACUAACUCCAUAAAAUCCAGACUUUAAAUCAUCUUCAGUUUUAAAUUUAAAAAUGUCUGUUUGUGUAAUAAGUCAAAAGUCGGCUUAAAGUAAGCAAAAAGCGACAAGUCAAAAGUACUUUUUUCAGUGACAUAAUUUUGUUAAAACUUUGUUUUAGUAAAAGUUGCCCAUAAGUGAUAAAUCACCGAUAAAUCACUUUUAAUUUUAUUAUUACAUUUUUAACAACCACUAAAUCAUUAAUAAAUCAAAAUUAUCUAAAUAGACAUUUUAAGUUCUUUGCUUAUCCUAUUAAAUCACUUAAAUCACGUUAAAUGAUAAAUCAUAGCUUUAAUUUGAGUAAAAUUUGACAACCGAGCUUAUGGAGUUGCAUAGACCCGCAAGCAUGGACCAACUACUUGCGAAGCUUACUUUUCUAAAUGUCGAAAGCAAGGCAAAAACUGACGGUGCACAUCUGCAGAAGACCAUUCGGAUAACAAGAAUGAAGGGAACUGUGGUGUGGAGCUUAAUUCACCUGUAACAUCACUACCAGCUGACCAGAACUUCACAUACUACACAUUGUCAUAUCCGUCCAAAGACUUGCGUGUUUGAAUAACAUUUCAUUUUUGGAGUGUAUUGCUGAGCUUUCCGAUUUGUUAUGCUACCUUAGAAAGCAAUUUUGAGGUGAGUAUUGAGAUUGUGGUGGCUAAUGCUGAGAAUUUUCGUACUUGAUUGGUAUUUGAAAAGUCUUAUAUAUAGAGCAAUGCACUGAGGAAUAAGGAUAUACAGUAAGAAUAUAAGCUGAUGAUAUCAAAAUAAAUAAAAACAACAAUGCACAUCUUUGUUGUUCUUCUUGUUUUUGUAUUGUUGCACCUUACUAAUGCGGAAAUCAUCACAAAGCAUGGAUGUCCAAGUAAAUGUGGAGACGUGACGGUACCCUAUCCAUUUGGCAUUGAAGGUUAUAACUGUUCCAUAAACCCCGCGUUUGAUAUUAUAUGCAACCAUUCCACUAAUCCUCCCAAAGCCUUCCUCCCAGGAAAUAAUAGUGAUGUUGAGGUUUAUCACAUAUCCAUCAACAGCACCGAGUUACGGGUUCCAAAUUUUAAUUUAUCCAAGUGCCCUCCUUCUGGUAACAAAGUCGAUUCCCCUAUUAUUUGGGACUUUAAUUUGGAGGGAACUCCAUAUAUGUAUUCCAACUCAAAUGUGGUGACAGACUGACAGUUGUUGGUUGCAAUUAUUCUGCGCUAAUCAGCCCAAUUAGCGAUCCCUCGGUUACAGGAUGCAUUACCACGUGUGAAGACACUGACCAAGUCCGCAAAGAUGAGUGCUCUGUAGGCAGUGGCUGUUGUCAAGUACCCUUUAGUGAUCAGCAGAAGAACUUCCAAUUUCAACUUGAUAUCUAUAAUAAUGGAAGUACAGGUUGUGCGCAUCGUUUUUCAGUAAGAAAGAAAGAUUCGAAUUUAGAGGUAAAUCAGAUCUUGACGAUUUAACCUUCCAGAAGAGGAAUUUGGCGGCUCCUGUAAUACUGGACUGGGUUAUUGGGAAUACAAAUUGCAAAGAAGCAGCUGAGAACCAGAGUUCUUAUGCUUGCAAAGACGAAAAUAGUGACUGCUUCAAUGCAACGGGGUCGAGUGGAUAUCUUUGCAGGUGCAAACAAGGUUUCAGGGGCAAUCCAUAUCUCAGUUCAGGAUGUGAAGGUAUUUAACUAAAACAGAGAUCUUCCUCUUGUUGUAGGACCAGGUAAUAAUUGUACUAUUUAAUUAAUUUAAUGUGACCGGGUGUUUCCAUUUUGCAAGAUAUCGAUGAAUGCAAAUCCAGAAGAUAAUCGAUGCCAACAAAGAUGCAAUAAUACUCCCGGGAACUAUAUCUGUUCUUGCGAAGAUGAUUUCUUUCUUUUUGAAGAUUAUAAAUGCAUUGUUCUAGGCUCCACCUCCCAAGGCUCCAACUCCCAAUUGAUCAAGGUUUUAAUAGGUAAACUUAUGAUCACUAUUUUUUCUACCAACAAAACCAUAUAUCUAGAUUAUUAUAUCUGAUCCUUGCGUUUAUAAUGCAGGAACAGGAUUUGGGUGCCUCUCCUUAAUCAUAUUAAUGAAUUGGCUGUGUUGCAUCAUGAGGAAAAGAAAACAUAUGAAGCUAAAAGAGAAAUUCUUCCAGCAGAAUGGUGGUCUACUGUUAGAACAACAUAAUAUCGGGGAGGGUGGUUCUAUUGAUUCCACAAAACAUUACACCGAUGAAGAGCUAAAAAAAGCAACCAACAACUACGCGGCUGAUAGGAUUCUUGGACAAGGUGGUUAUGGUGUAGUUUACAAAGGAAUCUUACCUGAUGAUCGUGUAGUUGCAAUCAAGAAGUCUAAAGUAGUGGACAAGAGUCAAAUAGAGCAAUUUAUCAACGAGGUGCUGAUUCUUACACAAGUUAACCAUAGAAAUGUGGUCAAACUGUUGGGAUGUUGUUUAGAGUGUGAGGUACCAUUGUUGUUAUAUGAAUUUGUAUCCAAUGGUACCUUAUACCAUCAUGUCCACAACAUUAGUGGAGGCAUGUCAUGGCUGUCUUGGGAGGAUCGGUUGAGAAUUGCUGCUGAAUCUUCCGGUGCUCUUGCAUAUCUUCACUCUGCAGCCUCUAUACCCAUCAUCCAUAGAGAUGUAAAGUUGGCUAAUAUUUUAGUGGAUGAUCAUCAUGUUGCCAAAAUUUCAGAUUUUGGAGCGUCCAGGUUGAUACCCAUGGAUCAAACUCAAGUGACCACCUUAGUUCAAGGAACUAUAGGGUACUUAGACCCCGAAUACUUCCAUACAGGCAACUGACUAACAAAAGUGAUGUUUAUAGUUUUGGAAUUGUCCUGGCAGAGCUCUUAACAGGAAGGAAACCAAUCAGCAUGGACAAUCCUGAGAAUGAAAGAAAUCUAGCCACAUAUUUCAUAACCUCCAUGAAUGAAAACCGAUUAUUCCAAAUUCUAGAGCCUCGGGUAUUAAGGGAAGGGACAUCGGACCAGUUUCAAAAGGCUGGUGAACUUGUAAAGAGGUGUCUUGACCUUAAUGGUGAGAAAAGGCCAACAAUGAAGGAAGUGGCAAUGGAAUUAGAGAGCUUGAGGAAAUUUACUAAACAUCCUUGGGCUAAUCAGCCUAUCAAUGAAGAGACAACAAGUUUAAUAGCUCAUUCGAGGAUUCAGCAUUCAGACCUCUAUGAAAUUAAGCUAAGCUCUCGUGAUGGGAAUGGUUCUGAAUCUGAACAGUAUAGCUCAAGUACUACUGUUAGUUUGGUGCACCAGCCAACCACCCCUCGUUGAGAUAUAUCUUGAUCUACAUUCAUGAUUUGUUCAUAAAUACAUGAAUGUAUAUCCUAAUAUUUCAUUUCUCUGUUUAGUACCAGUUCAAUACACAAGUUCAUUUUUGUCAAGUCAUGCAUACCAAUUCGAUAAAACGGUUUUCAGUUUUCAUGUUUAUGAUGUAAUUAGCAUACUUUAACAGUCUUUAAACCUUAUUGUAGUAGUUCAAUUAAUAUAGUUGUAGUUGUAUAUAUAUAUAGGAUUCAGCUAAACUUCUCAUCACUACAAGAAAAAUUGUUAAAAAAAACUUCCAACAACACAUCUGUCAAAAAUUCACAAAUAAAUUUCCAACAUUUAUCAUCAAAAAUAUGUAAUCACAUUUUUACAAUAAAGAAUAUGUCAAAAGUUUAUGCAUGUGACAACCAAAAUCGUUGGAAGAACAAACUUUUGACCGCACGAAAGUUACACGAUAUUUGUUGGAAAUUCAUUCUUCUUACCAACCAAUUUUGUAAGAAGAUAAUAUUUCCGACAAAAAUACAAUCACUAGGAAGUUCACAACUUAUGACAAGUUUUAUCUGUCAAAAGUUGGUGUGAACUUCCAACAGAUAGUUUGUAAGAAUUUAUGUUUAAAUUUUUAUUAUUAUUUCAUAGAAAUUCAUUUAAAUAUAAAUAAAUUAUAUUCCUGACAACAAUGUACGUCAGAUGUUAAGUUUAAUACUAUAAUAUCCUUGAAGUAGGCUCUACGUUUAUUUUCCGACAAAACUGAAACUUCCAAUGAAUUUCAGAACUUUGGAGUACAAGUUUUCCAACAAAGGUAUUCUGUCGGAAGAAGGCAUUCUUCUGACGGAAUACAGGCUAAAAUGUCUGUCGGAAAUACAUGUAUUUGGUGUAGUGUGCUCAGAUAUUAGAUUCAGUUGUUUUUAGGUAUAUAUGCCUUAUAUGUGAAGAAUGGACACAUUGUAGAAAUAUUUGCUUUAAAAUUGAGCUGGAGCUUUGUAAUACAAUUGCUCCUGGUUUCACAGGGUUCAGGAUAUCUAUCUAUGCUUUUAGACUACUUCCCAGUUAUAUGAAGUUGCUGGGCAACUUACAUUCCACAGGAGCACACAUACGUUACAUAUGCAUAUGAAGUUGCCAAAUCAAGUCAUCAUUGUGCCUCGUGUUUCAUUUCAGUGCAUUGACCGUCAUCGAUAAAUCUUUUUUCUUCUGUUUAAACUGACAAUUUCGGCUACAUAAAUGCAGAGGAGAAUUCAGCACACAAUGGAACACAAAAUGAGAGCUCAAGACAUCAUUUUUGUCAAAAAAUGGUAUAAAUUUCAACCAACGGAUAUGUCAAUCUAGAGCUGCAAUGGUUACAAUGAGAGAUUAUUGAGUACUUUCUACAUGUGAUCAGUAUCACUUUAAGUAAUUGUUUAAAUCAGGUUUUCUUUUAUUUUUAUGCACAGUUCUAGAAAAAAACUGGAGACUCACACAGAUUGUUAUGCUAGUUUCUUUAUGAGCGUCAUUAAUCAGAGCGAGCUCUGAUACCAUAUUGAGAACGAGAACUGAACCUGGACACAAGACAAGGACUAUGGGGGCAGCAAGAACCAGAGACUUUGGCAUUGACGCGACAUGAAGACCAAGACCGCGACGACUUUGAUUGCGAAAUGAAGUCUACUUUAAACACUGAGAACAACAAUUAAUGGUUCUUCCUUUCCUAAAGUUUAUAAAGUACUCUGAUAAAUACACAAAAUGUUGUAUCAAGUACUUGUCUUUGAAUGAUCAAGCCUUCAUUCGUUUCAUGGCGUGCUCCAACAAAUAUCUUCAAAUAGUUCCUCCAAUAAUGUGGACAUAAUUUCUGCGAUAGUGUCCAAACUUUAGGGACUUUAUAAAUAGCUUUUCAUCACUAUACAGUGUGAAUAGCUUUUCCAUUAUGUCAUCUUUAUUAAAUACUGGUGCUCGUUCAUUCUCGAAGUACCUCCUUUUUUCUAAAACUUCUUUUAGCACUUCAGUUGUCCUGAAAAAGUCUUACAACUAAAACGUGCAAGUGGGGGCGGACAAUUCUGGCUGUGAUAAAGAAAUGCAAGAGACUAGUAGCCUGUUCUGGGCUUAAAACCUCGAAAAUGUCUGUUGUUUCCGUAAGAAGUGAGAAGCCGGUUUAAAUUAGAAAUAAGCCGAAACAGACUUAAACAGUACACAAGUUCGUUUGAGGUAUUUUUUUCGUGUGACUUAAAUUUUUUUGAACCAUUUUUUAUUAUAAUAAUUAAGGUAAAUCAUAAGUUACCCAUAACUCACAUUUAUUUUUAUUAUUAUAUUUUUACUAACUCAUAAGUCAAUAAUAAGUCAUAAUUAUUCAAACAUACGUUUUAAACCGACAGCUAUCGUAUAUUUGUUAAAUUCUGUUGUUUUAUAUUUUUCAAAUUAAAUUAUUUAAAUUUCAAAUUAUUAUUAAUUAGAUAAUCAAUAUAACUAAGUUACAAGAAAAUUAUUUUAUUAAAAUUUAUUGAUAUAAAGAAAUUCAAGAAAGGAGGACAUACACAUUACAAACUUAUUAAUUUUUUUAUAAUUCUAAUUAUUUCCUAAAAUAUUUAUAUAAUUAUUAUCAGUAACUAAGAACAAUUGUAUACCGUGGAAAAAAAAAAAGGAACAAUUGUAUACAAUUUUUUUAUAUGAUUUGCAAUCAAAUACAACCUAAAAUAAUUUAUUUCGAAAACAAUAGGGUUUCUUUUUAAUUGAAUUCACUAAAAAACAGGUGAAUGCCCAAUACAACCUUUUUACAUCAACUGCUACCCAAAAUGACUAGAGCAGGAAAAGUGACCAAAAUGACGAGAGAAAAUCGCAUUCAGAGAAUGCGUAUACUGUUUUCGCAUUCCUUGGAUGCGCAUGCUCUGACUGAUUUGAUACACACGCAUUAGCACUAUGCGAGGCAACGCUAAACUUCAUAUUUUUUUUAAAUUAGUUACACAUUUCUAGGAUGUGUGCUAAGUAUAUACGCAUUGUCAAAAUGCGCAUACUUGUCUUACAUAUCACAAAACACACCCCGGACACAAUAAGUGAACCCGAACCCAGGAGCACUUCAUGAAUGACGUCGCCACCGACCUUCUGUCAGAGAUCCCGUGCUAAUUACAAGUUCUCAAAACACUGACUAAACCCUAGUUUAGUAACAUAUAAAUAAUACUCCCUCUGUCCCAUUUAAUUCUAUACGUUUCUUUUUAACUGUUCGACACGCAUUUCAAUACUCUUAUAAAAUAUAGUUCCGUAACUUAUUUUUGAGAUUUUCUUUUUCUGUAUAAAAAUAUAACAUCUAAACUUUAAUUCAGAAAAGAAAAAUUUUAAAAAUAAAUUGCACAACUACACUUUGCAGGAGCAUUAAAGUCCGUGCCGCUUCCCCGUCCCCCAAUGUAUACAACUCAGGCAUUAAAAUAAUAAUACAUGCGGACUUGCAGUGUGUAGGUGAUGAAAGAAGAAAAAAAAAAAGUGAUGUGUGAUGUGUCUCGUAUGUAUAAUAAAAAGAAAGAGAGAUGGGAUGGGGAUGCAUAUACUUCAAAGAAGGAUACACGAUGUACUUGGGUAGUAGUUGGGUUUGAUAUUGUACACGCAUUCGUCGAAUGCGAAGAUGAAUGGUUAAAAAGGGCAACAACCCCGACAUUAGUUAUUUCGGGCAUAGAGUACAUGAAUAUUAGUUAUUUAGGUUAUUAUCUCCUAAAAAACAAGAUAAAACUAACACCCCAAAAUGAUCGGUUACGUCCAUAAAUGAUCAGUAAUAUACCUAAAACCGACCAUAUACGAUGGUCGAUUUAGGCACAUUGGUAAUGUUUAAUGUAUAAAACCAACCAUCUCAGUCUCAAUUUUAACUGGUGCAAAAAACUUGCACAAGCAGGGCCUACACUGACAGCUAGUGCCACUUGGAUGCAAGUGCCACGUAUGCACAUAUAACUGAUAGGAUGGGUGGUCGGUUAAAAUGUUUGACCGGUAAUGAUUAGAUGUUUUCGGAGUAGAGUAAACCCGAUCGAGCCGGGGUGGGGUUUAUUCUAGAUAAGCUAUGGCCUAUUAGAACCAACCAACUGUAACCGACCAACGGAGGUGGUUGGUUAAGUCUCCUUGGUCGGUUUUAUAACGGAAGCGGCUGGAGUUUUUAAAAUCUGACCAACCAUAACUGACCGGCUCUUUUGAAGACGUUCGGUUUUAUGCGAUGUGAAAUGGUAAGGCCAGUCGGUUAUGACAAAGUCAGUCGGUUUUCUAGCUUGUGGAAUGGUAAUCAUGAUCGGUUAUGAUUUUUCGGGUGGAUUUUCUAGGAUGUGGAAUGGUAUACACAGUUGGUUAUGGGAUGUGGAAUAGUAUAUCAAUAAAUCACUUUUAUUUUUACUAUUAUGUCAUUAAUAAAUCGAAAUUGUCAAAACAGACAUUUUAAGUUUGGAGCUAUCUAAGCCCCUCUUAACUCAACCAACAAACUCACUGGACUCUAAGCCCCUCUUAAAAUAAUUUUUGAAAUUACUUUGAAAUAUUAUAACAAGUCAUAAACUUUAAAAAUAAAGUUGUCUGAGUAACUAAUAUAUUUAUAAUAUAUACUCAGAUAAAUUAUCCAUCAAAUUUAUUUUUAUUAUUACGUUUUCAAUAAUUUCAGUCAUUUAUAAUAUAAAAUUAUUAAAACGGAUAUAUUAAACACUUAAAGUUAAGGGGAGAAAAAACUGUGAAAUAUAAGAUGGUGGCAGAGACAAGGCAGAUCCUUCUUCCUCUGAGAACAGAUGGGCAGGAGAACCCUAGAAGAAGUGGGAACAGUAAAUAUGAACUUGAGGGGCAGUGAGGUUGCUACUCUCACAUAUUGAUAUAGGAAAUUACAUGUUAUGGCAUCAUGAUUUUACUAUAAACUUCAACACUUAAUAGUAGUUGUUAAUAUGUAAUGUUUUUAUUGUGUAGUAUUAAUAGAGUCUGAACUGAUGGCAAUUGUAAAAGGACAGAACCCUCUGUUGGUGUUUAACGUUGUAUUUGAAACAACACUGCGUCCACUACUUGGUGUCUUAUUUCAGUAUGACUGGUUUGUUAUUUUCUAACACAGGAUAAAUCUGACAUGAAUUAUGAAUGGCUAUUAGUUCGCUUCAGUUUUGUUCUAUAACGCGCUUAGAUGAAAUGACCUUGAAGUUUACAACCUUCAAAGGUAGUAACAUGUAAGGAUGCGUUCACUAGGAUGGAAUGGAAUGAGGGGGAAAUGGAAUGAAAAUAUAUAAAAAAAAAGUUUUAUGGAGAAAGAAGAAAGUAUGAGACAAUAAUGAUUAAAAAUGAGUGAGUUAAAACUUUUCAUGAAGAAGAUGAUAGGGAAACAUGAUGAACAAGUGGAAUGAAAAUUCCUUUCAUAACAUGUGGGUUAUAAUGUAGUUCAAAUAGUUAGAAUGGAUUGAUUGAAUGAAUGAAAAUUAUAAACAAUUUCUCUAAUUACCCCCAAUUUAUAUUAAAAUACCAUUCGAUUCUCCCCUCAUUCCUUUCCAUCCAAAUGAACACAGUCUAGGAGUAUGAUUUUAACUAUACCAUAUUAUGCGAACAGUGAGUUUCGUUUGCUGUUGAAAAGUCUUGUAUAGCUAUAAAGAUUAAGCGUGUGGGCACACAAGUCAUUCAUGCUUUAAAAACAGAGCUAUAUGUGCAGUCGGGAAUCGAAUAUACACACCAAGAAAAUACAUUUCCGCUAUCGAAAAGCUAAACACAAAAAUGCACUUUGGUCUUUUUUUCCUUGUUGUUCUACUGCAUUUUUCCUGGGGGUUAAAACAGCUAGAGUCGACCACUCUAAGUUUUAAUACCGCCGACGCUAAUCACAGUAUUCUGAUGGCUGAAAACAUUACAAUUGACCCAAAAUGUCAGAGUAAAUGCGGAAACCUUAGGGUACCAUAUCCGUUUGGAAUCGUAUCAAAGGGUCGCAACUGUUCUAUAGACCCCUCUUUUGAUAUUACGUGCAAUGAUUCUUUCAAUCCUCC